RNAcentral lists this ribosomal RNA (435 nucleotides) under uncultured bacterium. Its description in RNAcentral is "partial 16S ribosomal RNA". It matches the Rfam family "Bacterial small subunit ribosomal RNA", at positions 29 to 507 of the family's 1533-position model. The record is from RNAcentral.
AGCGAACGCUGGCGGCAGGCUUAACACAUGCAAGUCGAGCGGGCACUUUCGGGUGUCAGCGGCGGACGGGUGAGUAACGCGUGGGAACGUGCCCUCUGGUUCGGAAUAACUCAGGGAAACUUGAGCUAAUACCGGAUACGCCCUUUUGGGGAAAGGCUUGCUGCCGGAGGAUCGGCCCGCGUCUGAUUAGCUAGUUGGUGAGGUAACGGCUCACCAAGGCGACGAUCAGUAGCUGGUCUGAGAGGAUGAUCAGCCACACUGGGACUGAGACACGGCCCAGACUCCUACGGGAGGCAGCAGUGGGGAAUAUUGGACAAUGGGCGCAAGACUGAUCCAGCCAUGCCGCGUGAGUGAUGAAGGCCUUAGGGUUGUAAAGCUCUUUUAUCCGGGACGAUAAUGACGGUACCGGAGGAAUAAGCCCCGGCUAACUUCGUG